Molecule: ribosomal RNA, 253 nt
Filed under: uncultured bacterium
Lineage: Bacteria
Description: partial 16S ribosomal RNA
Rfam family: Bacterial small subunit ribosomal RNA
Source: RNAcentral
UACAGAGGUCUCAAGCGUUGUUCGGAUUCAUUGGGCGUAAAGGGUGUGUAGGUGGCGCGCUAAGUCGGGUGUGAAAUUUCGGAGCUUAACUCCGAAACUGCAUUCGAUACUGGCGUGCUUGAGGACUGGAGAGGAGACUGGAAUUCAUGGUGUAGCAGUGAAAUGCGUAGAGAUCAUGAGGAAGACCAGUGGCAAAGGCGGGUCUCUGGACAGUUCCUGACACUGAGACACGAAGGCCAGGGGAGCAAACGGG